GUGCUCGGCUUGGCAGCACUGACACUAAUGAAACGAUCCAGAGAGAUUAGCAAUGCCCAUGCUCAAGGAUGACACGCAAGUGCAACAUUCCAUAUUUUG
Molecule: small nuclear RNA, 99 nt
Filed under: Ursus americanus (American black bear)
Lineage: Eukaryota; Metazoa; Chordata; Mammalia; Carnivora; Ursidae
Source: RNAcentral